GGCGCGGGCAGAGAGAGGCGGCAGCGCUUCCGGCGGAACGGGAAGUGACGUGUUCCGUACGGCAGGGUGGCGGCCAGCAGGGCCAGCAUGGCGGCGCCCAGAUUGUUGUACGGACAGGGGAGAACUGGGGAGGACCCAGAUCCCCGCCAAAAGGAUCCUCACAGCUCCCCAGAGGAUCCAAAUAGCCCCGCACAAGCACAUCCCAGUAUCCCCUCCAAAGCAUCUCAGCAUCCCCGCAGUGCAUCGCAGUGUUCCCCCGAGGGUCCCGAUCCCGCUGUGGCCUGGGCUGACCCCUGCACUUGCCCCUACCCCGGGGAUCCCAUUCCCUCCACGGCCAUUUCGGGAUCCUCCUCCCCCGCUAAAUUUAGGGUCGGGAUCGGUUCCAGCUCAGCUGUUGCGGCUCCUCCGCAGGCUCCGGGGCCCCGAUCCCGGCCCAGAGGCGGCAGCAGGGGAGGGCUGGCGGAGCGGCCGGAGCCGAUCCUGGCUGGGAACAGCGCCGCGAUGGAGCCGGGGAAAAAUGCAGCUCUGGAUGAAUGGGACGCACAAAUCCGGAAAUUACCGGAGGAAUUUGGUGAGUCCUUCACCCCGAGCCAGCAGCAGACACUGAUGGAGACAAACAACUUUCUGUUUUUCUAUGCAUUUCAUUUAAUUUUUUUGUUUCCUCCUAAAGAAAGUGACACUGACCUGGAGGAAUGCGACACGGAGAAUGGUGAGUUCCAAAUUCCUAAAUCAUGGAAAAAUUGUUGUCACUAA
RNAcentral lists this long non-coding RNA (753 nucleotides) under Cyanistes caeruleus (blue tit). RNAcentral describes it as "lncRNA (ENSCCEG00000023042.1)". Lineage: Eukaryota; Metazoa; Chordata; Aves; Passeriformes; Paridae. The record is from RNAcentral.